Molecule: long non-coding RNA, 625 nt
Organism: Triplophysa rosa
Lineage: Eukaryota; Metazoa; Chordata; Actinopteri; Cypriniformes; Nemacheilidae
Exons: 3
Source: RefSeq, a predicted model, not a curated record
UACAGGUCAUUUGUUAUAAAUGCACAGUGGAAUAAAGUUGUAGGGGAUUUACAGUAAAAGACCCGUAGACCAGUUAUGAUGAAAGAAGAUCUCUGCUUUCUCUAUCAGAAAAGCCAACAGUCAGUCACCAAACCAAUGAUCCAACCGGAUCUAAACGUUAUGGAGGUCACCCCAUCUGUGCCAGACGUCAUGGAGGUCACCCCAGCUACGAGAAUCCAUGACUCGGCUGUGAUGAAACAGAUUCUGCUCACUGUGACUGGGUGAAGGAGUACCGAACCCACCUUGCUGGGAAAGUUCACCUACCACAGGUCACAAGAAUGAACGAGGGUGAUCAUUGGCCAAUAACUGUCUGUCUGUCUGUCUAAAAUAAUAAUAAUAUCUUGUUGUUCAUUCCUUUGCUUACUCCAGCUUUAAUCCUAGUAGAAUGGUCUUGUAAACUAACGGUACUGUUUAGCGUGUUGACAAAAUGUUUAUACUGUAUGCUCUACUACUUGUAAGUCGCUUUGGAUAAAAGCGUCUGCCAAAUGAAUAAAUGCAAAUGUAAAUGUAAAUUAUUCCUUGUUGGCUAUAACAAUGCGGGACCUAUUUAUUGACACCAUUUUCUAUGAUGGUGGCAUGGAUCAGG